This 459-nucleotide ribosomal RNA is filed under the name uncultured beta proteobacterium. Its description in RNAcentral is "bacterial SSU rRNA". It matches the Rfam family "Bacterial small subunit ribosomal RNA", at positions 71 to 524 of the family's 1533-position model. The record is from RNAcentral. Lineage: Bacteria; Pseudomonadati; Pseudomonadota; Betaproteobacteria.
AUAGAGAGCUUGCUCUCUGAUGGCGAGUGGCGAACGGGUGAGUAAUAUAUCGGAACGUGCCCAGUAAUGGGGAAUAACUAGCCGAAAGGUUAGCUAAUACCGCAUACGACCUACGGGUGAAAGCAGGGGAUCUUAGGACCUUGCGUUAUUGGAGCGGCCGAUAUCUGAUUAGCUUGUUGGUGGGGUAAAAGCCUACCAAGGCAACGAUCAGUAGCUGGUCUGAGAGGACGAUCAGCCACACUGGAACUGAGACACGGUCCAGACUCCUACGGGAGGCAGCAGUGGGGAAUUUUGGACAAUGGGGGAAACCCUGAUCCAGCCAUCCCGCGUGAGUGAAGAAGGCCUUCGGGUUGUAAAGCUCUUUCGAAAGUGAAGAAAACUUAUUUCGUAAUAUGUUAUAAGUAUGACGGUAACUUUAGAAGAAGCACCGGCUAACUACGUGCCAGCAGCCGCGGUAAU